CCUACGGGAGGCAGCAGUGGGGAAUUUUGGACAAUGGGCGCAAGCCUGAUCCAGCUAUUCCGCGUGUGGGAUGACGGCCUUCGGGUUGUAAACCACUUUUGUAGAGAACGAAAAGUCUGUUGAUAAUACCGAUAGAUGAUGACGGUACUCUAAGAAUAAGCACCGGCUAACUACGUGCCAGCAGCCGCGGUAAUACGGAGGAUGCGAGCGUUAUCCGGUUUUAUUGGGUUUAACGGGUGCGCAGGCGGUCUGUUAAGUCAGCGGUCAACGCCCGGGGCUCAACCCCGGCCCGCCGUUGAAACUGGCAGUCUCGAGUUGGAGAGAAGUAUGCGGAAUGCGCGGUGUAGCGGUGAAAUGCAUAGAUAUCGCGCAGAACUCCGAUUGCGAAGGCAGCAUGCCGGCUCCACACUGACGCUGAGGCACGAAAGCGUGGGUAUCCAACAGGAUUAGAUACCCUAGUAGUC
RNAcentral lists this ribosomal RNA (464 nucleotides) under uncultured bacterium. RNAcentral describes it as "partial 16S ribosomal RNA". It matches the Rfam family "Bacterial small subunit ribosomal RNA", at positions 338 to 795 of the family's 1533-position model. The record is from RNAcentral.